Molecule: ribosomal RNA, 218 nt
Filed under: uncultured bacterium
Lineage: Bacteria
Description: partial 16S ribosomal RNA
Rfam family: Bacterial small subunit ribosomal RNA
Source: RNAcentral
UACGAAGGGGGCUAGCGUUGUUCGGAAUUACUGGGCGUAAAGCGCACGUAGGCGGAUAUUUAAGUCAGGGGUGAAAUCCCAGAGCUCAACUCUGGAACUGCCUUUGAUACUGGGUAUCUUGAGUAUGGAAGAGGUAAGUGGAAUUGCGAGUGUAGAGGUGAAAUUCGUAGAUAUUCGCAGGAACACCAGUGGCGAAGGCGGCUUACUGGUCCUACUGA